This 253-nucleotide ribosomal RNA is filed under the name uncultured bacterium. RNAcentral's name for it is "partial 16S ribosomal RNA". It matches the Rfam family "Bacterial small subunit ribosomal RNA", at positions 524 to 776 of the family's 1533-position model. The record is from RNAcentral.
UACGAAGGGGGCUAGCGUUGUUCGGAAUUACUGGGCGUAAAGCGCACGUAGGCGGUGUUCCAUGUCAGAGGUGAAAGCCUGGGGCUCAACUCCAGAAUUGCCUUUGAAACGGUGACGCUUGAGUCCGAGAGAGGAUGGCGGAAUUCCUAGUGUAGAGGUGAAAUUCGUAGAUAUUAGGAAGAACACCGGUGGCGAAGGCGGCCAUCUGGCUCGGUACUGACGCUCAGGUUCGAAAGCGUGGGGAGCAAACAGG